This 254-nucleotide ribosomal RNA is filed under the name uncultured bacterium. RNAcentral's name for it is "partial 16S ribosomal RNA". It matches the Rfam family "Bacterial small subunit ribosomal RNA", at positions 524 to 776 of the family's 1533-position model. The record is from RNAcentral.
UACGUAGGGGGGCAAGCGUUGUCCGGAUUUAUUGGGCGUAAAGAGCGUGUAGGCGGCUUUACAGGUCCGUUGUGAAAACUCGAGGCUCAACCUCGAGACGUCGGUUGAAACCGCUUGGCUAGAGUCCGGAAGAGGAGAGUGGAAUUCCCGGUGUAGCGGUGAAAUGCGCAGAUAUCGGGAAGAACACCCGUGGCGAAGGCGGCUCUCUGGGACGGUACUGACGCUGAGACGCGAAAGCGUGGGGAGCGAACAGG